RNAcentral lists this ribosomal RNA (460 nucleotides) under uncultured bacterium. RNAcentral's name for it is "partial 16S ribosomal RNA". It matches the Rfam family "Bacterial small subunit ribosomal RNA", at positions 338 to 795 of the family's 1533-position model. The record is from RNAcentral.
CCUACGGGUGGCAGCAGUGAGGAAUAUUGGUCAAUGGUCGCGAGCCUGAACCAGCCAAGUAGCGUGAAGGAUGACUGCCCUACGGGUUGUAAACUUCUUUUAUAAGGGGAUAAAGUGCGGCACGUGUGCCGUUUUGUAUGUACUUUAUGAAUAAGGAUCGGCUAACUCCGUGCCAGCAGCCGCGGUAAUACGGAGGAUCCGAGCGUUAUCCGGAUUUAUUGGGUUUAAAGGGAGCGUAGAUGGGUUGUUAAGUCAGUUGUGAAAGUUUGCGGCUCAACCGUGAAAUUGCAAUUGAUACUGGCAGUCUUGAGUACAGUUGAGGUAGGCGGAAUGCGUGGUGUAGCGGUGAAAUGCUUAGAUAUCACGAAGAACUCCGAUUGCGAAGGCAGCUUACUAAACUGCCACUGACAUUGAGGCUCGAAAGUGUGGGUAUCAAACAGGAUUAGAUACCCUGGUAGUC